RNAcentral lists this ribosomal RNA (759 nucleotides) under uncultured archaeon. Its description in RNAcentral is "bacterial SSU rRNA". It matches the Rfam family "Archaeal small subunit ribosomal RNA", at positions 102 to 859 of the family's 1478-position model. The record is from RNAcentral.
GGAUAACCUGCCCUUGGGACCGGCAUAACCCCGGGAAACUGGGGAUAAUUCCGGAUAACGCACAUAUGCUGGAAUGCUUUAUGCGUGAAAUGGAUUCGUCUGCCCAAGGAUGGGUCUGCGGCCUAUCAGGUAGUAGUGGGUGUAAUGGACCUACUAGCCUACAACGGGUACGGGUUGUGAGAGCAAGAGCCCGGAGAUGGAUUCUGAGACAUGAAUCCAGGCCCUACGGGGCGCAGCAGGCGCGAAAACUUUACAAUGCGGGAAACCGUGAUAAGGGGACACCGAGUGCCAGCAUCAUAUGCUGGCUGUCCAGGUGUGUAAAAUACACCUGUUAGCAAGGGCCGGGCAAGACCGGUGCCAGCCGCCGCGGUAACACCGGCGGCCCGAGUGGUGAUCGUGAUUAUUGGGUCUAAAGGGUCCGUAGCCGGUUUGGUCAGUCCUCCGGGAAAUCUGACAGCUCAACUGUUAGGCUUUCGGGGGAUACUGCCAGACUUGGAACCGGGAGAGGUAAGAGGUACUACAGGGGUAGGAGUGAAAUCUUGUAAUCCCUGUGGGACCACCUGUGGCGAAGGCGUCUUACCAGAACGGGUUCGACGGUGAGGGACGAAAGCUGGGGGCACGAACCGGAUUAGAUACCCGGGUAGUCCCAGCCGUAAACGAUGCUCGCUAGGUGUCAGGCAUGGCGCGACCGUGUCUGGUGCCGCAGGGAAGCCGUGAAGCGAGCCACCUGGGAAGUACGGCCGCAAGGCUGAAACUUAA